UGGCUCCCUGCUUUCUUUGUGUAAGGAUGAUAAAAAGGGUCUUUCUUGGGAAAGUGACUUUGGGAGUCUCCCUCGGAGAGGACACUCUACCGUAGGGACUUUCCCAACCGAGACCCUGACGGCUGUGAUGCAGGACUUCCCCAGCCAGAUGUUCAGGAAUUGGUGCUUCCUCGGAUUGCUGGUGCUUUGCAGCCUUCAGGUGUUCCACAGAAGUGCAUGAAAUACAAGGGUGUUUGUCAAGAUUAACCUUUCUAAAGAGGGCUGCACUCCUGAAUGCCAGCUGAGAAUCAUUUUGGAUCUUCUUCUGCGUGCUGAUUGCUUUGAGCAAAAAGAACCAAACUGCUGGCUUGAUAGUCUUUUCAAACAGUCCAUCAGAACUCAGAAACUCAGACAAGCUUCUUUGGAGAAAGUUCCCAUUGGAAAUUUCCAUAGGAAAGCUUUUACAGACCUGUUUGGUUUCCACAAGGAAUUCCAUCAUGAAGGUCAAGCUCUUUCCCUCUGCAUCUUCUUGUUGUCACACUUUGUUCUCGAGUUCCUGAUUCUAGGUGACUUAAACUCACUAGUUCCUGAAUAAUUGUCAUCACCUCCCUCUCUCAAGUGUUGUGCUUGGGGGUGGGGGAUGGAGCCAAGAUGGCGGAGUAAAAGCAGUGACUUGCUUGAGCUCUCCCCCAAACCAGCUCACACAGGUUGGAGAGAUGGGUUGUUGGAUUUUCAGUGUGAGCAUUUACACUUUGGAAAUCAGGAAAUGCUACAAAAUUAGGGUUUAGAUUUAUUGUUUUGUCGAUUGUCUAGAUCAGAGAGGUCAAAUUCAUGGUCUUCUGGCCCCAAGCAGCCCUCAAAACUUCCCAGUGGAACCAGAACAAGAUUAAACUGU
Molecule: long non-coding RNA, 874 nt
Organism: Vombatus ursinus (common wombat)
Lineage: Eukaryota; Metazoa; Chordata; Mammalia; Diprotodontia; Vombatidae
Exons: 4
Source: RefSeq, a predicted model, not a curated record